GAGGGUGGGGCUGUCGCGCCAGGUCAGGCAACGCCGGAGGCCCGGGAUUCCAGGGAUCCCGCAGGUCCUCCAGGCUUGGCCUGAGCGGCUUCCUCCAUAUACGCUCCCCUCCUACACAAGUCCGGCCCUCGGCGCUCCUGCCGAAGCAGCAGGCGCCUCGGACUCUGCGCGAGGCCCGCCGGCCGCUCACCUAUGAUGGUCCGCGCCGCCGAGACGAUGACCACGGGAUCUGAGCCUGCAUUCAUCCUGCCCACGACCGCUUCUCCUGCCGCCGUCUGCCCUGCGCUGCCUGCAAGUUAGGCAAGGCUCCUCCUCGCAGCCCACAGGCCGCGCCACGGGCGGGACCUGAGCCCAGGACUGGAAUCCCACGGGCGAGAAUCUCGAGUGAGAGCCUGGCCCGCCGCGGGUCUCAGCACAACUCUAAUGGGUCGUUUUGCUCUCGGCUGCUUCGGGAGGUCCUAUGCGUUUCGCCUGGCGCCAGUCAUUCGCUCGCGUGCAGGGCUUGCUGGGCGCGUCGGUGCGAGCCCCCGUGGGGCUGGCGCCCCCUGGCCUUCCAAGAUCAACUCUGGCGGUGAAGGGGUGAGGACGCCGGCGGCGUCUUAACGUCCCACAGUGAAAAGUUACCUUGGUUGACGUUUGGACAGUGAAAGGAGCAUAUAACAAGUGGGGUCAGUUUUGUUUAAAACCCUUGCUGACUUCCCAGCCUCUUACUGGGCAAAGUUCAUAAUUUUUCUGAGCUUUCUAGGGUUUCUAGGCAAGCUUAUGCGGGCCACCAUUACAGCAACUUGUUGGGAACACCUGGAUAGUGGAACAAGAAAACUUGGUCACAAAGUCAUGAAGGGGAAAACUGUUGACGGACCUGGAGAAUCUUCCUGAAGAACUUUAAAGUAGAUUGAAAGAAUCAUUAAAUCCUGGUAACCUA
Molecule: long non-coding RNA, 922 nt
Organism: Piliocolobus tephrosceles (Ugandan red Colobus)
Lineage: Eukaryota; Metazoa; Chordata; Mammalia; Primates; Cercopithecidae
Exons: 2
Source: RefSeq, a predicted model, not a curated record